GAUCCGCAGGCCCAUUGACUAACCUUAGCAGCCCAACUUCUUCCUUUGACUAAUCUUCAAUUUGACUUUUCUCUUCUCCUUCUUCCUUUCCAAAAACACGAUCAGCUCCUUCUUCAAUUCUUCUUCUGAUUGCUUGUUGCUGGUUGAUGCUUCUUGUCUUUUUUUUUUUUUGCAGACAUACUCAAAGGAUCAACACUCAACACUCCCUCUUGAGCCUUUAAUAGUUUCCUUGAUUCCAACUUAGGGUUUUGUAGCUCGAUGUCUUUGGUUCUUCUCUCUUCAUCACCUUGGUCUUCAGAACAUCAGCAUAGCUUCUGGGUUCUUAACUGUGGAGGCUCUGCUCCCUCCGUCCUUCUGCAUUUCACGUCCAGGUAAUUUCUUUACCUCUUCCUUGUUUGAGCCUUGAAUCUUCUGUUUCUCGUUGGUGCUGUUCUUGUUGGUGGAUUUCAAGCUUGGAUAGUUGAAUCCAAUGCUGUCAAUUUCUUGGAUCAACUUCUCUUUCCAUGGUGUCUUCUCAUUACCCUUGUUGAAUCUUCCUUGAGCCAUUUUUGCAUUUCUGCCGAUGAUUCCAUCAAUCAGCUUCUUCUCCUUCUCCUUCAGAGAUAAGUUUUCCUUAUGUUGAUUUGUAUCACUCUUGAUCACUGUCUUAGUAAGUCUGGUUUCUUGCACAACCUCCUUGGUUUUCUUAAUCUCCAUUUCUCUUUUGUUGAACUCAGUUUUCCUCUGAUUCUCAACAUUGAUCACUGGCUUCUUCUCCUUUCUUGUUGCAGGUUUCUCUUCAGGUUUCCAUUGCAGAGAUAUCAUUGAGCUUGGGGCUUCAGCAUAUCCUGAUCCCUCAUAGUCGGUUUUAGCUUCUUGUUCAGACAAAACAUUCAUCGCCUUCUUGCUUAAUGGCAUAUGAAGGUGAAAGCUUUUCUUUGCCAUUUUCACUUCUGCAAUCUUCUUUCCAGCUUGAUCCAGAAUGAUGCAGCUUCUGUGUUUGAAGUUCCAUCACCAACUCUGAUUGGUACUCUAAAGCUUGUAUCAAGUCUCUUGAAUAGCUUCUCAUUGGGUGUCAUGUGAUUGGUGCAGCCACUAUCAAUGAGCCAAAUGCUUUCUUCGGCUCUUCUAUUUCUGCAGUCCUUGGACAGAUGACCUACUUUGCUGCAGGUGAAGCAGCUUCUUGUGUCUCUGUUCCUGUUGAACUCAGGUCUACCUUUUCCAUUCUUGAAGUAACACACUUCUUCAUUGUUUUUGAAUCGAGCAUGAAAUGCUCCUUCACCAUUAUCUUCAUCUGGGAAGUACUUCUUCUCAUGUGCUUCAAGGGACCCUAUCAGCUCCGCAUAAGUAACUGUAUAGAGAUCCUUAUUUUCUUCUAUUAAUGAGGCUAGACCAGCAUAACUCUUUGGCAUAGAAGCUAACACCUUAACUACCAGGAAUGCUCCAGAAGAUCCCAAGCCUCUUUUACAGUUGUUGCAGAGAGGAUUUUGUCAAAGAUAGUAUCGGCUACAGCAUAUUGGAUGAUUUGGAGUGCAGCUGUAUCUUUGGCUUUGAGAGUCUUCAGAGUUGUUCUCAUUCUUGCAGCCCAGAACUCAUAGUUCUGGCCAUCAAAUACAGCCACCGAUUGAGAUGUCUGUCACACAGACAACUAUAGCUCUGAUACCAUGUUGAACUUCACUCUUUUAAGAUAUGUUUUCUUUCACUCUCUUUCUUUCAAGAUCGAUAUUUCUUCUUAACAUUCAUCUUUUUCAUUCAUUUCUCUUAUCUUCAUUACAUUGCACUCUCUUCAUACAUAUAGGUGAUAUCCUCUAACUACUCUUACUAACUCUCAUCAUUACUACACCUCAACUCUAGGACUUUAGACUCUCUUACACAACUGUUCUAACUUAGACUUCUAACAACUCUCAUUACUACUUUAGCUACUCAUUCUUAGAAUUAAUGAUAACAAGUCCUACACUUACACACAAACUCUUAUUCCUGUGUUCUUUUGGGCUUUGUGCAGAUCCGCAGGCCCAUUGACUAACCUUAGCAGCCCAACUUCUUCCUUUGACUAAUCUUCAAUUUGACUUUUCUCUUCUCCUUCUUCCUUUCCAAAAACACGAUCAGCUCCUUCUUCAAUUCUUCUUCUGAUUGCUUGUUGCUGGUUGAUGCUUCUUGUCUUCUUUUCUUUUUGCAGACAUACUCAAAGGAUUAACACUCAACAAAUCUUCAGUGGUUGAAUUUAUAUGUGGGGAAGUUCACCUGCGUUAGAGUUAUGCAUACAAUGCUAUAUAUAUACAGUAAAAACUCUAUAAAUUAAUAAUGUUGAGACCAUGAUAUUUUAUUAAUUUAUCGUGAUAUUAAUUUAUAUAUAAAUUAAUAAUUAUUAAUUUAUAGAGAAAAUUUGCUUUUUGUAUAUAAUUUUUUUAAA
Molecule: RNA transcript, 2389 nt
Organism: Eutrema salsugineum
Lineage: Eukaryota; Viridiplantae; Streptophyta; Magnoliopsida; Brassicales; Brassicaceae
Exons: 8
Source: RefSeq, a predicted model, not a curated record